GAUCAUGGCUCAGGAUGAACGCUAGCUACAGGCUUAACACAUGCAAGUCGAGGGGAAACGACAUCGAAAGCUUGCUUUUGAUGGGCGUCGACCGGCGCACGGGUGAGUAACGCGUGGAUAACCUGCCUCACACAGGGGGAUAACAGUUAGAAAUGACUGCUAAUACCGCAUAAGCGCACGGUACCGCAUGGUACAGUGUGAAAAACUCCGGUGGUGUGAGAUGGAUCCGCGU
This 232-nucleotide ribosomal RNA is filed under the name uncultured bacterium. RNAcentral describes it as "partial 16S ribosomal RNA". It matches the Rfam family "Bacterial small subunit ribosomal RNA", at positions 15 to 236 of the family's 1533-position model. The record is from RNAcentral.